GAUGAAGUACGCAGCGAAUUGCGAUAAGUAAUGUGAAUUGCAGAAUUCAGUGAAUCAUCGAAUCUUUGAACGCAGCUUGCGCUCUCUGGUAUUCCGGAGAGCAUGCCUAUUUCAGUGUCAUGAAAUCUCAACCACUAGGGUUUCCUAAUGGAUUGGAUUUGGGCGUCUGCGAUUUCUGAUCGCUCGCCUUAAAAGAGUUAGCAAGUUUGACAUUAAUGUCUGGUGUAAUAAGUUUCACUGGGUCCAUUGUGUUGAAGCGUGCUUCUAAUCGUCCGCAAGGACAAUUACUUUGACUCUGGCCUGAAAUCAGGUAGGACUACCCGCUGAACUUAAGCAUAUCAAUAAGCGGAGGA
RNAcentral lists this unclassified non-coding RNA (353 nucleotides) under soil metagenome. RNAcentral's name for it is "partial contains 5.8S ribosomal RNA, internal transcribed spacer 2, and large subunit ribosomal RNA". The stretch from base 1 to 120 matches the Rfam family "5.8S ribosomal RNA", at positions 35 to 154 of the family's 154-position model. The record is from RNAcentral.